GAUGAACGCUGGCGGCGUGCCUAAUACAUGCAAGUCGAGCGAACAGACGAGGAGCUUGCUCCUCUGACGUUAGCGGCGGACGGGUGAGUAACACGUGGAUAACCUACCUAUAAGACUGGGAUAACUUCGGGAAACCGGAACUAAUACCGGAUAAUAUAUUGAACCGCAUGGUUCAAUAGUGAAAGACGGUUUUGCUGUCACUUAUAGAUGGAUCCGCGCCGCAUUAGCUAGUUGGUAAGGUAACGGCUUACCAAGGCGACGAUGCGUAGCCGACCUGAGAGGGUGAUCGGCCACACUGGAACUGAGACACGGUCCAGACUCCUACGGGAGGCAGCAGUAGGGAAUCUUCCGCAAUGGGCGAAAGCCUGACGGAGCAACGCCGCGUGAGUGAUGAAGGUCUUCGGAUCGUAAAACUCUGUUAUUAGGGAAGAACAAAUGUGUAAGUAACUAUGCACGUCUUGACGGUACCUAAUCAGAAAGCCACGGCUAACUACGUG
This 497-nucleotide ribosomal RNA is filed under the name uncultured bacterium. RNAcentral describes it as "partial 16S ribosomal RNA". It matches the Rfam family "Bacterial small subunit ribosomal RNA", at positions 28 to 507 of the family's 1533-position model. The record is from RNAcentral.